CAGCCGCCACGGUAAUACGUAGGUGGCGAGCGUUAUCCGGAUUUAUUGGGCGUAAAGGGAGUGUAGGCGGUCUUUUAGGUCUGAUGUGAAAGCCCACGGCUCAACCGUGGAGGGUCAUUGGAAACUGGGAGACUUGAGUGCAGAAGAGGAGAGCGGAAUUCCAUGUGUAGCGGUGAAAUGCGUAGAUAUAUGGAGGAACACCAGUGGCGAAGGCGGCUCUCUGGUCUGUAACUGACGCUGAGGCUCGAAAGCGUGGGGAGCAAACAGGAUUAGAUACCCGUGUAGUCCCUGUCUCUUAUAC
This 301-nucleotide ribosomal RNA is filed under the name uncultured bacterium. RNAcentral describes it as "partial 16S ribosomal RNA". It matches the Rfam family "Bacterial small subunit ribosomal RNA", at positions 509 to 807 of the family's 1533-position model. The record is from RNAcentral.